Molecule: ribosomal RNA, 253 nt
Filed under: uncultured bacterium
Lineage: Bacteria
Description: partial 16S ribosomal RNA
Rfam family: Bacterial small subunit ribosomal RNA
Source: RNAcentral
UACGUAGGGGCCGAGCGUUGUCCGGAGUUAUUGGGCGUAAAGCGCGCGCAGGCGGCCUCGCGCGCCCGACGUGAAAGCCCCCGGCUUAACCGGGGAGGGUCGUUGGGGACGGCGGGGCUUGAGGGCGGGAGAGGUCGGUGGAAUUCCCGGUGUAGUGGUGAAAUGCGUAGAGAUCGGGAGGACCACCUGUGGCGAAGGCGGCCGACUGGGCCGACCCUGACGCUGAGGCGCGAAGGCGUGGGGAGCGAACGGG